Molecule: long non-coding RNA, 1295 nt
Filed under: Zonotrichia albicollis (white-throated sparrow)
Lineage: Eukaryota; Metazoa; Chordata; Aves; Passeriformes; Passerellidae
Description: lncRNA (ENSZALG00000000708.1)
Source: RNAcentral
GGGAUCGGGAUUGGGAUCGGAGUUUGGGAUUGGGAUUGGGAGUUUGGGAUUGGGAGUUUGGGAUCGGGAGUUUGGGAUUGGGAGUUUGGGAUCGGGAGUUUGGGAUCGGGAUUGGGUGUUUGGGAUGGGGAUUGGGAUCGGGAGUUUGGGAUCGGGAGUUUGGGAUCAAGUGGGUUCUGGGGCUGGAUUUGGGAUUGCGUUCAAGAUUGGGUCUGGAAUUGGAUCAGGGCUUGGAUUCAGAUUCAGUUUGGGAUUGGGCUUGGGACUGGAUUUGGGAUUCAACCUGGGGUCGGAUUUGGGAUUGGGUUUGGAAUUGGAUCUGGGGUUGGAUCUGGGAUUGGGUUUGGGAUUGGGUUCAGAAUUGGGUUUUGGUUCAGAAUUGGGUUCGGGACUGGAUUUGGGAUUGGAUCUGGUGUUGGAUUCAGAUUCAGUUUGGGAUUGGAUCUGGGGUUGGGUCUGGGAUUGGAUUUGGGAUUGGAUUUGGGAUUGGAUUCAGGGAUUGGAGCUGGGAUUGGAUUCAGGGUUGGAUAUGGGAUUGAGUUUGGGACUGGAUUUGGGUUUGGGAUUGGAUUCAGAACUGGAUUUGGGAUUGGAUCUGGGAUUUGAUUUCAAAUUGGAUUCGGGAUUGGAUCUGUGAUUGGAUCUAGGGUUGGAUCUGGGAUUGGAUUCAGGGUUGGAUAUGGGAUUGAGUUUGGGACUGGAUUUGGGUUUGGGAAUGGAUUCAGAACUGGAUUUGGGAUUGGAUUUAGGACUGGAUUUGGGACUGGAUUGGGUUUGGCUCUGUCUCCAUCCAGGACAUCCCAAGGGAAUUCAGCAGCUGGAGCCAUCCCAGCGCACCGGGAACCGGAUCCAAGACAAAAAAAAAAAACCGGGAAGGGAAAAACUCCGGAGCUACUUGAGGGAAAUAUUUUUUCAUGGAAGGAAGGAUUUAUAGGGCUGGGACUGCUCUGCAGCAGAGCAACAUCUGGAACAGAUCCGUUAUCCCGUCCGAACACCGGCGAGGGGAGCCAGGGAUAAAUCCCGGCUGUCGGAACGGGGAUCCCACACACGAAGGGAAUCCGGGAUUCGGGAUUGCCCUCCCAAAUUUCCCCCAUCGGGAUUUCUCCCUUUCCCCUGGGAUUUGGGGGGGGCGGUGGGAGAACCCCAAGGAUUCCAGGGAAGCCUCUGGAAUGCUGGAAAUUUGGGAAUGGCGAUGGAAAACGGAUCCCAAAUAUGGGGAUGGCCCUGGAAAACAUUCCCUGGCAUCUGGAGCAUCCUUGGAUUCAUGGCUGGAUGGGAUGGGACCAUCCCAGAGG